This 63-nucleotide transfer RNA is filed under the name Trigonopterus selaruensis. Its description in RNAcentral is "tRNA-His". Lineage: Eukaryota; Metazoa; Arthropoda; Insecta; Coleoptera; Curculionidae. The record is from RNAcentral.
AUUCAAAUAGUUUAAUUAAAAAUAUUAAUUUGUGGGGUUAAAGAUAUAAUAUUAUUUUGAAUA